GACGAACGCUGGCGGCGUGCUUAACACAUGCAAGUCGAACGGAAAGGCCCUGCUUGCCGGGUACUCGAGUGGCGAACGGGUGAGUAACACGUGGGUGAUCUGCCCUGCACUUCGGGAUAAGCUUGGGAAACUGGGUCUAAUACCGGAUAGGACCGCACUUUAGUGUGUGUGGUGGAAAGUUUUUUCGGUGUAGGAUGAGCUCGCGGCCUAUCAGCUUGUUGGUGGGGUAAUGGCCUACCAAGGCGGCGACGGGUAGCCGGCCUGAGAGGGUGUACGGCCACAUUGGGACUGAGAUACGGCCCAGACUCCUACGGGAGGCAGCAGUGGGGAAUAUUGCACAAUGGGCGCAAGCCUGAUGCAGCGACGCCGCGUGGGGGAGGAAGGCCUUCGGGUUGUAAACUCCUUUCGCUAGGGACGAAGCUUUUUGUGACGGUACCUAGAUAAGAAGCACCGGCUAACUACGUG
RNAcentral lists this ribosomal RNA (465 nucleotides) under uncultured bacterium. RNAcentral describes it as "partial 16S ribosomal RNA". It matches the Rfam family "Bacterial small subunit ribosomal RNA", at positions 28 to 507 of the family's 1533-position model. The record is from RNAcentral.